AUUGGUAGCCCUCGCGCCUCGUGCCCCGUCUUUGGAGUGCGCAGAGGAAUGUGUGCUUCUUUUGAAAGGCCAAAACCAACUCUUGGCAACGGAUAUCUCGACUCUCGUAUAGAUAAAGAA
Molecule: ribosomal RNA, 120 nt
Filed under: Solanum cernuum
Lineage: Eukaryota; Viridiplantae; Streptophyta; Magnoliopsida; Solanales; Solanaceae
Description: 5.8S ribosomal RNA
Source: RNAcentral